AAUGAACGCUGGCGGCAUGCCUAACACAUGCAAGUCGAACGAAGCCUUCGGGCUUAGUGGCGCACGGGUGCGUAACGCGUGGGAAUCUGCCCUUGGGUUCGGAAUAACAGUGGGAAACUACUGCUAAUACCGAAUGAUGUCGUAAGACCAAAGAUUUAUCGCCCAGGGAUGAGCCCGCGUAGGAUUAGCUAGUUGGUGUGGUAAAGGCGCACCAAGGCGACGAUCCUUAGCUGGUCUGAGAGGAUGAUCAGCCACACUGGGACUGAGACACGGCCCAGACUCCUACGGGAGGCGGCAGUGGGGAAUAUUGGACAAUGGGCGAAAGCCUGAUCCAGCAAUGCCGCGUGAGUGAUGAAGGCCUUAGGGUUGUAAAGCUCUUUUACCCGGGAUGAUAAUGACAGUACCGGAGAAUAAGCUCCGGCUAACUCCGUGCCAGCCGCCGCGGUAAU
This 449-nucleotide ribosomal RNA is filed under the name uncultured bacterium. RNAcentral describes it as "bacterial SSU rRNA". It matches the Rfam family "Bacterial small subunit ribosomal RNA", at positions 29 to 524 of the family's 1533-position model. The record is from RNAcentral.